UUGCUCCCGGAUGUUAGCGGCGGACGGGUGAGUAACACGUGGGUAACCUGCCUGUAAGACUGGGAUAACUCCGGGAAACCGGAGCUAAUACCGGAUAGUUCCUUGAACCGCAUGGUUCAAGGAUGAAAGACGGUUUCGGCUGUCACUUACAGAUGGACCCGCGGCGCAUUAGCUAGUUGGUGGGGUAAUGGCUCACCAAGGCGACGAUGCGUAGCCGACCUGAGAGGGUGAUCGGCCACACUGGGACUGAGACACGGCCCAGACUCCUACGGGAGGCAGCAGUAGGGAAUCUUCCGCAAUGGACGAAAGUCUGACGGAGCAACGCCGCGUGAGUGAUGAAGGUUUUCGGAUCGUAAAGCUCUGUUGUUAGGGAAGAACAAGUGCGAGAGUAACUGCUCGCACCUUGACGGUACCUAACCAGAAAGCCACGGCUAACUACGUGCCAGCAGCCGCGGUAAUACGUAGGUGGCAAGCGUUGUCCGGAAUUAUUGGGCGUAAAGGGCUCGCAGGCGGUUUCUUAAGUCUGAUGUGAAAGCCCCCGGCUCAACCGGGGAGGGUCAUUGGAAACUGGGAAACUUGAGUGCAGAAGAGGAGAGUGGAAUUCCACGUGUAGCGG
This 616-nucleotide ribosomal RNA is filed under the name Bacillus subtilis. RNAcentral describes it as "bacterial SSU rRNA". It matches the Rfam family "Bacterial small subunit ribosomal RNA", at positions 79 to 681 of the family's 1533-position model. Lineage: Bacteria; Bacillati; Bacillota; Bacilli; Caryophanales; Bacillaceae. The record is from RNAcentral.